GCGUCAUUGGUUUAAUGGUAGAACAACUGACUUCCAAUCAGUUAGCGCGAGUUCGAUUCUCGCAUGGCGCUC
RNAcentral lists this transfer RNA (72 nucleotides) under Streptomyces phage Coruscant. RNAcentral's name for it is "tRNA-Gly". It matches the Rfam family "tRNA". Rfam says of the family: Transfer RNA (tRNA) molecules are approximately 80 nucleotides in length. Their secondary structure includes four short double-helical elements and three loops (D, anti-codon, and T loops). Further hydrogen bonds mediate the characteristic L-shaped molecular structure. tRNAs have two regions of fundamental functional importance: the anti-codon, which is responsible for specific mRNA codon recognition, and the 3' end, to which the tRNAs corresponding amino acid is attached (by aminoacyl-tRNA synthetases). tRNAs cope with the degeneracy of the genetic code in two manners: having more than one tRNA (with a specific anti-codon) for a particular amino acid; and 'wobble' base-pairing, i.e. permitting non-standard base-pairing at the 3rd anti-codon position. Lineage: Duplodnaviria; Heunggongvirae; Uroviricota; Caudoviricetes; Stanwilliamsviridae. The record is from RNAcentral.